Molecule: ribosomal RNA, 832 nt
Filed under: Escherichia coli
Lineage: Bacteria; Pseudomonadati; Pseudomonadota; Gammaproteobacteria; Enterobacterales; Enterobacteriaceae
Description: partial 23S ribosomal RNA
Rfam family: Bacterial large subunit ribosomal RNA
Source: RNAcentral
GCGAUACAGGGUGACAGCCCCGUACACAAAAAUGCACAUACUGUGAGCUCGAUGAGUAGGGCGGGACACGUGGUAUCCUGUCUGAAUAUGGGGGGACCAUCCUCCAAGGCUAAAUACUCCUGACUGACCGAUAGUGAACCAGUACCGUGAGGGAAAGGCGAAAAGAACCCCGGCGAGGGGAGUGAAAAAGAACCUGAAACCGUGUACGUACAAGCAGUGGGAGCCUCUUAAUGGGGUGACUGCGUACCUUUUGUAUAAUGGGUCAGCGACUUAUAUUCUGUAGCAAGGUUAACCGAAUAGGGGAGCCGAAGGGAAACCGAGUCUUAACUGGGCGUUAAGUUGCAGGGUAUAGACCCGAAACCCGGUGAUCUAGCCAUGGGCAGGUUGAAGGUUGGGUAACACUAACUGGAGGACCGAACCGACUAAUGUUGAAAAAUUAGCGGAUGACUUGUGGCUGGGGGUGAAAGGCCAAUCAAACCGGGAGAUAGCUGGUUCUCCCCGAAAGCUAUUUAGGUAGCGCCUCGUGAAUUCAUCUCCGGGGGUAGAGCACUGUUUCGGCAAGGGGGUCAUCCCGACUUACCAACCCGAUGCAAACUGCGAAUACCGGAGAAUGUUAUCACGGGAGACACACGGCGGGUGCUAACGUCCGUCGUGAAGAGGGAAACAACCCAGACCGCCAGCUAAGGUCCCAAAGUCAUGGUUAAGUGGGAAACGAUGUGGGAAGGCCCAGACAGCCAGGAUGUUGGCUUAGAAGCAGCCAUCAUUUAAAGAAAGCGUAAUAGCUCACUGGUCGAGUCGGCCUGCGCGGAAGAUGUAACGGGGCUAAACCAUG